RNAcentral lists this ribosomal RNA (467 nucleotides) under uncultured bacterium. RNAcentral's name for it is "partial 16S ribosomal RNA". It matches the Rfam family "Bacterial small subunit ribosomal RNA", at positions 28 to 507 of the family's 1533-position model. The record is from RNAcentral.
GACGAACGCUGGCGGCGUGCUUAACACAUGCAAGUCGAACGGAAAGGCCCUGCUUUUGUGGGGUGCUCGAGUGGCGAACGGGUGAGUAACACGUGAGUAACCUGCCCUUGACUUGGGAUAACUUCAGGAAACUUGGGCUAAUACCGGAUAUGAACUCCUGCUGCCUGGUGGGGGUUGGGAAGUUUCGGCGGUUGGGGAUGGACUCGCGGCUUAUCAGCUUGUUGGUGGGGUAGUGGCUUACCAAGGCUUUGACGGGUAGCCGGCCUGAGAGGGUGACCGGCCACAUUGGGACUGAGAUACGGCCCAGACUCCUACGGGAGGCAGCAGUGGGGAAUAUUGCACAAUGGGCGGAAGCCUGAUGCAGCAACGCCGCGUGCGGGAUGACGGCCUUCGGGUUGUAAACCGCUUUCGCCUGUGACGAAGCGUGAGUGACGGUAAUGGGUAAAGAAGCACCGGCUAACUACGUG